GGCCGUCCGAGGAGCCGGAGGACUCCCCGCCGCCCGUGUCGGCGGUGCGGCCGGUGUCCGUCUCGGGCUUCGGCGCCCGGGGCGGCCG
This 88-nucleotide transfer RNA is filed under the name Streptomyces thermodiastaticus. Its description in RNAcentral is "tRNA-Thr". The record is from RNAcentral. Lineage: Bacteria; Bacillati; Actinomycetota; Actinomycetes; Kitasatosporales; Streptomycetaceae.